UGGCAGGCGCGGCUAUAAUGCAGUCGAGCGAAUGGAUUAAGAGCUUGCUCUUAUGAAGUUAGCGGCGGACGGGUGAGUAACACGUGGGUAACCUGCCCAUAAGACUGGGAUAACUCCGGGAAACCGGGGCUAAUACCGGAUAACAUUUUGAACCGCAGGGUUCGAAAUUGAAAGGCGGCUUCGGCUGUCACUUAUGGAUGGACCCGCGUCGCAUUAGCUAGUUGGUGAGGUAACGGCUCACCAAGGCAACGAUGCGUAACCGACCUGAGAGGGUGAUCGGCCACACUGGGACUGAGACACGGCCCAGACUCCUACGGGAGGCAGCAAUAGGGAAUCUUCCGCAGUGGACGAAAGUCUGACGGAGCAACGCCGCGUGAGUGAUGAAGGCUUUCGGGUCGUAAAACUCUGUUGUUAGGGAAGAACAAGUGCUAGUUGAAUACGCUAGAACCUUGACGGUACCUGGCCGGAUCGCCGCGAAAACAAGGUGCAAACAGGCGCGAUAAGACUUAGGUGGAGAACUUUAUGCGAAAUGGGGGGGCGUAAGCCCGCACAAAUGUUUUUUUUUAUGUCGGGUGUGAGAGCAAGGGUGA
This 590-nucleotide ribosomal RNA is filed under the name Bacillus cereus. Its description in RNAcentral is "bacterial SSU rRNA". It matches the Rfam family "Bacterial small subunit ribosomal RNA", at positions 37 to 611 of the family's 1533-position model. Lineage: Bacteria; Bacillati; Bacillota; Bacilli; Caryophanales; Bacillaceae. The record is from RNAcentral.